UGGGGUCAAUAAGCCUGCUUACUAUUCCAU
Molecule: non-coding RNA, 30 nt
Filed under: Rattus norvegicus (Norway rat)
Lineage: Eukaryota; Metazoa; Chordata; Mammalia; Rodentia; Muridae
Source: RNAcentral